AGCGAACGCUGGCGGCAGGCCUAACACAUGCAAGUCGAACGAACUCUUCGGAGUUAGUGGCGGACGGGUGAGUAACACGUGGGAACGUGCCUUUAGGUUCGGAAUAACUCAGGGAAACUUGUGCUAAUACCGAAUGUGCCCUUCGGGGGAAAGAUUUAUCGCCUUUAGAGCGGCCCGCGUCUGAUUAGCUAGUUGGUGAGGUAAAGGCGCACCAAGGCGACGAUCAGUAGCUGGUCUGAGAGGAUGAUCAGCCACAUUGGGACUGAGACACGGCCCAAACUCCUACGGGAGGCAGCAGUGGGGAAUCUUGCGCAAUGGGCGAAAGCCUGACGCAGCCAUGCCGCGUGAAUGAUGAAGGUCUUAGGAUUGUAAAAUUCUUUCACCGGGGACGAUAAUGACGGUACCCGGAGAAGAAGCCCCGGCUAACUUCGUG
Molecule: ribosomal RNA, 433 nt
Filed under: uncultured bacterium
Lineage: Bacteria
Description: partial 16S ribosomal RNA
Rfam family: Bacterial small subunit ribosomal RNA
Source: RNAcentral